AGAGUUUGAUCCUGGCUCAGGAUGAACGCUAGCGGCAGGCUUAACACAUGCAAGUCGAGGGGCAGCGGGGAGGAAGCUUGCUUUCUCCGCCGGCGACCGGCGCACGGGUGAGUAACACGUAUGCAACCUGCCCCUGUCAGGGGGACAACCCGCCGAAAGGCGGGCUAAACCCGCGUACAUGCCACCGGGGCAUCCCGGAGGCAGGAAAGGCUUCGGCCGGACAGGGAUGGGCAUGCGGCGCAUUAGGCAGUAGGCGGGGUAACGGCCCACCUAACCGACGAUGCGUAGGGGUUCUGAGAGGAAGGUCCCCCACACUGGUACUGAGACACGGACCAGACUCCUACGGGAGGCAGCAGUGAGGAAUAUUGGUCAAUGGUCGGGAGACUGAACCAGCCAAGCCGCGUGAGGGAGGAAGGUACAGAGUAUCGUAAACCUCUUUUGUCAGGGAACAAAGGCGGGGACGUGUCCCCGGAUGAGUGUACCUGAAGAAAAAGCAUCGGCUAACUCCGUGCCAGCAGCCGCGGUAAUACGGAGGAUGCGAGCGUUAUCCGGAUUUAUUGGGUUUAAAGGGUGCGCAGGCGGUCUGUUAAGUCAGCGGUCAAAGCCCGGGGCUCAACCCCGGCCCGCCGUUGAAACUGGCAGUCUCGAGUUGGAGAGAAGUAUGCGGAAUGCGCGGUGUAGCGGUGAAAUGCAUAGAUAUCGCGCAGAACUCCGAUUGCGAAGGCAGCAUGCCGGCUCCACACUGACGCUGAGGCACGAAAGCGUGGGUAUCGAACAGGAUUAGAUACCCUGGUAGUCCACGCAGUAAACGAUGAAUGCUGGCUGUCCGGGGGGAUUGACCCCUGGGUGGCGAAGCGAAAGCGAUAAGCAUUCCACCUGGGGAGUACGCCGGCAGCGGUGAAACUCAAAGGAAUUGACGGGGGCCCGCACAAGCGGAGGAACAUGUGGUUUAAUUCGAUGAUACGCGAGGAACCUUACCCGGGCUCAAACGGGGAGUGACUCAGGCAGAGACGCCUGUUUCCCACGGGACACUCCCCGAGGUGCUGCAUGGUUUCGUCAGCUCGUGCCGUGAGGUGUCGGCUUAAGUGCCAUAACGAGCGCAACCCCCGCGUGCAGUUGCUAACAGAUAACGCUGAGGACUCUGCACGGACUGCCGGCGCAAGCCGCGAGGAAGGCGGGAUGACGUCAAAUCAGCACGGCCCUUACGUCCGGGGCGACACACGUGUUACAAUGGGUGGUACAGCGGGAAGCCAGGCGGCGACGCCGAGCGGAACCCGAAAUCCACUCUCAGUUCGGAUCGGAGUCUGCAACCCGACUCCGUGAAGCUGGAUUCGCUAGUAAUCGCGCAUCAGCCAUGGCGCGGUGAAUACGUUCCCGGGCCUUGCACUCACCGCCCGUCAAG
Molecule: ribosomal RNA, 1402 nt
Filed under: uncultured bacterium
Lineage: Bacteria
Description: partial 16S ribosomal RNA
Rfam family: Bacterial small subunit ribosomal RNA
Source: RNAcentral